Molecule: small RNA, 61 nt
Filed under: Arabidopsis thaliana (thale cress)
Lineage: Eukaryota; Viridiplantae; Streptophyta; Magnoliopsida; Brassicales; Brassicaceae
Description: ATSL040170
Source: RNAcentral
UUGGUUAGUUUUUUGGAGUCAAAUAUGACUAGAUGGCAUGUGUAUGAUUGAGUAUAAGAUC